Molecule: transfer RNA, 74 nt
Filed under: Piscinibacter aquaticus
Lineage: Bacteria; Pseudomonadati; Pseudomonadota; Betaproteobacteria; Burkholderiales; Sphaerotilaceae
Description: tRNA-Val
Rfam family: tRNA
About the family: Transfer RNA (tRNA) molecules are approximately 80 nucleotides in length. Their secondary structure includes four short double-helical elements and three loops (D, anti-codon, and T loops).
Source: RNAcentral
GGGCGGCUAGCUCAGGGUAGAGCAUCGCAUUCACACUGCGGGGGUCGGGGGUUCGAAACCCUCGCCGCCCACCA